This 2109-nucleotide unclassified non-coding RNA is filed under the name Monomorium pharaonis (pharaoh ant). RNAcentral describes it as "putative cyclin-dependent serine/threonine-protein kinase DDB_G0272797/DDB_G0274007, transcript variant X1". The record is from RNAcentral. Lineage: Eukaryota; Metazoa; Arthropoda; Insecta; Hymenoptera; Formicidae.
UAUUACUAGAAUCCGAGGAAGCUGCUUCGAUGCAGCAGUUGUUGCAACAGCUGCUACAGCAGCAGCAGCAGCAACAACAACAGCAGCAGCAACAACAACAAGAACAGCAGCAGCAACAACAACAACAGCGACAACAUCAAGAGGAAAUGCAACGAGCGUUGCAGUUCCUCUUUGAUGAGCUGCACAAGCAGCAGCAGCAGCAACAGCCGCAGCCGCAACAGCCGCAGCCGCAACAGCCGCAGCCGGAACAGCCGCAACAGCCGCAGCCGCAGGAGAUGCAGCCACAGCCGCAGCCGCAGCAGCUACGGCCAAAACGAAAAAAAAGAGGUGCCGGCCGCGCGCGGGCCCGCUGGCGAGCCCAGCGGGGCUUUUGGGGUGCUGGCCGAGGCGGUGACCGAGGUGGCAACGAUCGAGGUGGCGGCCAAGGUAGCGGCCGAGGUGGCGGCCGAGGUGGCGGCCGUGGUGGCGGCCGAGGUGGUGGCCGAGGUGGUGGCCGAGGUGGUGGCCGAGGUGGUGGCCCCACAUACAUAUACAACUACAAAUAUUACAACAUAUCGUAAAAAUAAAUAUUAUAAAAAAUACUUUAAAUCUUUUAAAUAUCUUUUAUUCCUUUCAUUAUUCCUUUCCUUUAUAUAAAUUAAAUGUGGUAUAAUAAGGCUACUGGCGAAGGUCCACGUAAAAAAACCUAACGCGCUAUUAGUGGCACCUCAUGGGUGGCGUGGAAGCCACUUAAAUAAUUAAAUAAAGCAUUAAACAGGUCUGGUAAGCUAGACUUUACAUCUAUAAAUAAUAGAUGUGUUUAAGCAACAAUUAAAAACUAGUCUGGCAUGCUAGACCUCACAUCUAUAAAUAAUUGAUGUGUUAAAGCAUUAAACAGGUCUGGUAAGCUAGACUUUACAUCUAUAAAUAAUAGAUGUGUUUAAGCAACAAUUAAAAACUAGUCUGGCAUGCUAGACCUCACAUCUAUAAAUAAUUGAUGUGUUAAAGCAUUAAACAGGUCUGGUAAGCUAGACUUUACAUCUAUAAAUAAUAGAUGUGUUUAAGUAACAAUUUAAAACUAGUCUGGUAUGCUAGACCUCACAUCUAUAAAUAAUUGAUGUGUUAAAGCAUUAAACAGGUCUGGUAAGCUAGACUUUACAUCUAUAAAUAAUAGAUGUGUUUAAGUAACAAUUUAAAACUAGUCUGGUAUGCUAGACCUCACAUCUAUAAAUAAUUGAUGUGUUAAAGCAUUAAACAGGUCUGGUAAGCUAGACUUUACAUCUAUAAAUAAUAGGUGUGUUUAAGUAACAAUUAAAAAUUAGUCUGGUAUGCUAGACCUCACAUCUAUAAAUAGAUGUGUUAAAAAUUUCAAUAAAUUAAAUGUGGUAUAAUAGGGCUACUGGCGAAGGUCCACGUAAAAAAACCUAACGCGCUAUAUAGUGGCACCUCAUGGGUGGCGUGGAAGCCACUUAAAUAAUUUAAAUUUUUUUCAUUAAUCUUUUGCUAACUCGUCAGCUCUUUUUUAUUUGUGUAUUUAAUAAAUUAUUACAAAUUUUAUUAUUUAAUUUAUAUUUUUAUUGAAAUUAAUUUUAUUAUAAUUUUAAAGACAAUAAAUUACAUUAAUAGUAAAAAAUUAAAUAACAAAUAAUAAUAAAUAAUAUGAUUAAUGAUAUCGAUGAUAGAUAUCAAUUAAUCUGCUUAACGUCCACGCUUGAGAUGAGCGGGGGACGAGCGAGGGGAGGGCGAGCAUAAAUGCUUUCGUCGAGCAUCAACGUGCCCGCGAACGCACGUUUUCGUGGCAGCCUUGGAGAAAAAGAGACGGAUGUCUCUCUCUCUUUAAUAUCCGAGUAGUGGCAGACGCGGCGAGAACGGCCGAGCCGGCCCGAAAGCCGAGGCAUGAACGCGGCCGACUCGGUGCUCCGGGAGCACCCGAGGUGCCCCGAGAGUACCCGAGGUGCUAGCGGACUAAAUCUUGCACCACUGCUCCCAGGGCCACGCCGAAUUCCCGUGCGGGCCGCGUGCUCGUCUCUCCCGGGCACCGGUGGCGUCCUUCCUCCUUCCCCGCAUCGUCGUCGCUCUCUCUCCUCCUCUCUCGCUCUCUCGCCGCAUUCCAUCGGAAGACGGCCGCCG